RNAcentral lists this ribosomal RNA (253 nucleotides) under uncultured bacterium. RNAcentral's name for it is "partial 16S ribosomal RNA". It matches the Rfam family "Bacterial small subunit ribosomal RNA", at positions 524 to 776 of the family's 1533-position model. The record is from RNAcentral.
UACGUAGGGGGCAAGCGUUGCCCGGAUUCAUUGGGCGUAAAGAGCGUGUAGGCGGCCAGGUAGGUCGGCUGUGAAAACUGGAGGCUCAACCUUCAGAGGUCGACCGAAACCAUCUGGCUAGAGUCCGGGAGAGGAGAGUGGAAUUCCUGGUGUAGCGGUGAAAUGCGCAGAUAUCAGGAAGAACACCCGUGGCGAAAGCGGCUCUCUGGAACGGUACUGACGCUGAGACGCGAAAGCGUGGGGAGCGAACAGG